UAGGGAAUCUUCGGCAAUGGGCGAAAGUCUGACCGAGCAACGCCGCGUGAGUGAAGAAGGUUUUCGGAUCGUAAAACUCUGUUGGUAGAGAAGAACGUUGGUGAGAGUGGAAAGCUCAUCAAGUGACGGUAACUACCCAGGAAGGGACGGCUAACUACGUGCCAG
Molecule: ribosomal RNA, 165 nt
Filed under: uncultured bacterium
Lineage: Bacteria
Description: partial 16S rRNA
Rfam family: Bacterial small subunit ribosomal RNA
Source: RNAcentral